CCUACGGGAGGCAGCAGUGGGGAAUAUUGGACAAUGGGCGAAAGCCUGAUCCAGCCAUGCCGCGUGUGUGAAGAAGGUCUUCGGAUUGUAAAGCACUUUAAGUUGGGAGGAAGGGUUGUAGAUUAAUACUCUGCAAUUUUGACGUUACCGACAGAAUAAGCACCGGCUAACUCUGUGCCAGCAGCCGCGGUAAUACAGAGGGUGCAAGCGUUAAUCGGAAUUACUGGGCGUAAAGCGCGCGUAGGUGGUUUGUUAAGUUGGAUGUGAAAUCCCCGGGCUCAACCUGGGAACUGCAUUCAAAACUGACUGACUAGAGUAUGGUAGAGGGUGGUGGAAUUUCCUGUGUAGCGGUGAAAUGCGUAGAUAUAGGAAGGAACACCAGUGGCGAAGGCGACCACCCGGACUAAUACUGACACUGAGGUGCGAAAGCGUGGGGAGCAAACAGGAUUAGAUACCCUGGUAGUCCACGCCGUAAACGAUGUCAACUAGCCGUUGGAAGCCUUGAGCUUUUAGUGGCGCAGCUAACGCAUUAAGUUGACCGCCUGGGGAGUACGGCCGCAAGGUUAAAACNCAAAUGAAAUUGACGG
Molecule: ribosomal RNA, 587 nt
Filed under: uncultured bacterium
Lineage: Bacteria
Description: bacterial SSU rRNA
Rfam family: Bacterial small subunit ribosomal RNA
Source: RNAcentral